UGAAAUGAGAGAAGAGAGAAGACGGAGAGAUUUAUAGGAGAGGGAAGAAGAAGGAAAAAAAAA
RNAcentral lists this small RNA (63 nucleotides) under Arabidopsis thaliana (thale cress). RNAcentral describes it as "ATSL029100". The record is from RNAcentral. Lineage: Eukaryota; Viridiplantae; Streptophyta; Magnoliopsida; Brassicales; Brassicaceae.